This 344-nucleotide ribosomal RNA is filed under the name Monochamus saltuarius. RNAcentral's name for it is "partial 12S ribosomal RNA". Lineage: Eukaryota; Metazoa; Arthropoda; Insecta; Coleoptera; Cerambycidae. The record is from RNAcentral.
UAAUAAUGUAAAAUUAAACUAGAUUAGUAGUAGUUAUGUUCUUGAAAAUUAAAAAUUUUGGCGGUUUUUUAGUCUAUUCAGAGGAACCUGUUCUGUAAAUGAUAGUCCACGAUUUUAAGUUCCUUUGUUAAUAGUUUGUAUAUCGUCGUAGUUUGAAUAUUUUAAAAGAAUUUUAAUAUUCAAAAUUUAUUUAAAUAAAAAAUAUCAGAUCAAGGUAUAGUUUAUAUAAAGGUAGAAAUGGGUUACAUUAAUUUUAAUUAUAGAUUAUUAAUUUUAAAUUGAUAUAAAAAAGGAUUUGAUAGUAAUUUUUAAUAAAUUUUAAUAAUGAUUAUUAGCUCUAAAAA